AAAGCUGAAUCGUUGCUCAAGCAAUACCUGUGGGGUAGAAAAACUCAGGAACCUGAAAACUGGCUGGGGAACAAUGCAAAUAUUUCAGUAAAAUGUGCUCAGUUUCAUGCAUGCUUUAACUGUCCCAGGAAAGCAGAUCUGCAGCUGGGGAUACCUGACUACAAUCUACAGUUUACACGGUUUGUUCUUCAAAAAUAAUAACCUCUACAUUUGAAAAGUAGAUUCUCUUCUGUUUUACCCUCUUUCACAGGAGCAAGGCCAUCAAUGGACACUGUAAGACCCUCUCAUGGUAUUGUUAAUACUAAUACUAAUAAUUAUAAUAAUAUGAGGGCAAUUAUUGCCCUUUUCCCCUCCCUGAGUGCCCUGGCAGCAGGAAAGGAGAUCCUCACCUGGGACACUCCUUCUUUCCUCAAACAGAUCCUUUCCCCCUCAUUGCAAGCACCUGAAGGAAACAGCUGCAAGCCCUAAAACCUCCAGCCCCUCACUGCUCCAAAUUCAGCCUGCCCUGAGCCAGGUGGUCUCCACUGGAAGAGCCACAGAAAAGGGGAAGUUUUGGGAGAGAUCAAAGAGGAGCUUUGGCUCUCCUCCUUCCAGAGGAAGAGUAGUCGAUAUAUUUAAUUGCAGCUGGGACUUCCACUUCUCUUCUUGGCAGACAGUCUUCUUUAAAAUCUUUCCUUAUCAAUUCACAAACAUGGGUUAUAUGGAUGUGAAAUGAUUUGCUGAAAGCCACCCUGCAGAGAUGACAUAAAAAGAAAUCUCCAGUUCUGGACUCCAUCAGGCCAUGACAGACUCUGAUCCAUCGAAUUGGUUUUCCCCCAAUCUUUCAAUGCCAUAUAUUAUUACAAGCCUUUCAUUUAAUAAAAAUAAUGGGCUUGGAAGUUGUGCAGAACCUCUACAAGAAUGAAAGAGCCCUGUGUGCUCUUUGUUCUGUGCACAGCCACAAGGUGCAGCUUGUCCCUUCAACAUGUGCACCACUGAUGGAGACAAAAGGUUUCUGAAGUGACCCCUAGUGACCUGUGACCACUGAACCAAGGCUUUAUUGCUCUAUGUGAUCAGUGUGUAUGCUCACACUUGGUCCCCCAAAAAGACAGGACAAGAUCUGGGAGCAAAGCAUGCAGAUUUGACAGGGUGGAUGUACUCUGAACAGUUCUGGGGCUUUUUUUUGGGCUUUAUGUAUACAACUAUGAUGUGAAUUCUCAUCUGGUUGACUCAGUCUCUUUUUCCAUUUGUGCUAGGCAAAGCACCCCUGCAAACCCACAAGUACAUCACUGUCAAGCCAGCAAGCUGAGACAGAGAGAAUAUUCACCUGCAAAGUCAGCUUGAUUCAGUGCUCAUCAGACAGCACACAGGUGUUAAAGGCAGGAUUGUAUCUGUGAUUUUUCAGCACAAAAACCAUUGUGUUCCUUCAGGCUACAUAACCACUCUGAUGUCGAUUUCCUCCUGGUGGAGUAUUCCAGGACAAGGGAAAGCAUUCAUUUUCCAUGGAAGUCACUGAGACUGGAAAAUAGGAAGAAUCAGACUUUCUCCCCAGACUUCACAUUCUCCUUGGCUCCUGCCAGCUCCAGACCUCCAGACUGACAUGGGAGCAGUCUCUCCCGAGGAAUUCUGCUGCCCCUGGUUCUCGCUGACAUCAAGAAGUGUUGAGGUAGCUAUAGCCUAGGAUGAUGCUCAGGGCAAGUUCAACUUAAACAGCAUGUGCUCAAGCACCCUCAACAUUGCUUAAACUCUGCAAGGAUGAUAAUUCAGCACGAGAAAACAGAGAUGGUUUUACCAGGAAAUCAUUGGAAAUGAGGACCCUGAGGUCACCCAGUCUGCCCUGUGACAGUUCAGCUAUAGCUGCUCUUGGCAGGUGUUUAUCUUGUGGGUCUGAGGCUCCAGUGAUUCCCACAGCAGCCUGUUCCAGGGGUCUGUCAUCCUUGCUGCUGGGUGUUUGGCCUUAAGCUCUAACUGGAUGCUCCUCACUGCAAUUUAAAGACCAUUGCUUUGCUUCUGUUGUAAGCACAACUACAUCUUACACAUUGGAGAAUGCUACUUGUUGCUGUCUCAGUCUUCAGGAGCUCCAAGCAGAGUGGAGUGAUCACUACAGCUGAUACUUGGUUUUAGACACACUGGUAUGAUAUUUUCCCUAUUUGCCACAGGCUGAUUUGACUCAUGGUCACAGCUUCUGAUUCAUUAUACCCCUCAAGUCCUUGCUGGACAGAGUGAUUCUCAGCCAGACAACCCCCAGCCUGUGCUCACACCAUUAACAUCUUCUGCCUGACUGCCAAAAUUUCCACUAGUCAAUGUUGUACCACAACCUUUUUCUAAAUAGAAGUCAAAGAAUAAUUCUAAAUAGAUGUGAAAGAAUCUUUUUCUUGAAAGAAUAGUCAUCUCAUACCACAUCUCCAAGUCACCAUGAUCAUUUUGAAUUCUUAUUCCACUCUCUGAACACUUCUUGUCCAUCCCAGCAUAAAAACACUAUUUUCCAACCCAUCAUGAAAAUUAUCAAUUAUGUUGCCCCAUGUCUGUCAGAGCUCAGGGAUUAACAAAAGGUAUUUGCAUCUUGAACCAUUGUCUCUCUAUCCCUGUCUUUCUUCUCUGCCCUGUUCUUCUCUCCUGACUCAUUUUCCAAGUAGAUCCUCUUUGAUACUUUCCUGAGCAUGUAGCUUUCCCAAAAAUAGUUCCUGACUGAACUGGAGAGACUGGCUCUUCAUUAUUCACUCAAGGCUGAGUGCUUCAAUUCUCAAAAAACAAUUCUUGAUCUCACUGCAGAGCACCAAGAUACUAAAACUCGCUUCAGAAUAAAUGGAAAAAUUGUUGCAAAUUUCUUUGGUACUUCAGGUUAAAAUCCAGCUGUGAUUUCAGGUUUAAAGUUUAGACAACUUCUGCUUUUUCAUUCUUCUGAGCAUCUUGGUGCAUGAUGCACUCAGUUGUGUCCAGCACCCAGCAUAGCUAUAACUUAUUUUUAUUUAUCUGCUUCUUCUGACCACAAAAACAAGCCUGGCCAACAUCCCUAGAAAAGGUUGGGUCAAGUUGACUAUAAUAAGCAAACCUUACAAAGUUAAUGCAAAUAAGACUUGCAGAGUCUAUUACACUGAGUACCUUAGUGAGUGAUCCAAGCUGAGAUGAAACUUUCUGGGAAUGUGCACUGGGCUAAACCAGAACCAGUUAUCCUUGGACCCCCUGUGAGCCUGAAAAGUUAAUUCCUAACUUCUGUUAUUUUUUUUCUAUUCUAGCGAAAGCUUUUGCUUUGAAACUUGGAGUCACACUAUGAUCCCUGUUUUUAUUACUAAGCAAGAAAUUUAUGACUCUUGGAUAUAAAGAUGAGAUGAAAAUGUAACCAAACCCAUUACAAAGACUCAAAAAUAUAAAUACGAAAUACAAGCAAUGCUUUUUUUUUUUUAAGUUACAAGGCAAGUUCCAUCAGCUUGUGAAGAAAUCCCUUCAUUUGAGAUGAAAUAUAGGUCAUGAUUUCUGAGUCCUUGGGCUUGGCAGCAUGAUUUUUGGCCUGUAGCUCAAAAUGGAGCUGGCCAUCUGCACUUUGGGAAUCCAUUACUGUUGUCAAAUCACACAGGGUAUUAUAGCAACUGCCCAAAGCAAAACAAAACCAAACCAAAAUACUUCAGGAUACUAUAGCCAUUAUAACCAUCUGCCUAUCUAUUUAUAAACUAGUUUGCUGAGGUACUGCACACAUUCUGGAGGCAAUAAGUUGCCAUUCCUGUUUAUUUUUGCAGGUGUCCUUGAAGCAUGUUUAAAAAAAGCAAAAACGGCAGAGGGUUGAGAAGGGGAGAACUUGUUUGCUGCACUGAGUGAGAGAGUAGGUCCUUUCUUCAGAGGCUGAAAAAUGAUACAUCAACUGCAGUGAAGAAUUUCUGGAGCUGGUUCAAUUCAUUUGACACUUUGGGGGAUACUAAUUGAGCAUUCAAUAGCUCAACACUGGGGGAGUGGGGUAAACCAAUCCAGGAAAGCCAUCAGCCAUGGGGAAACCAAUUUGCUCUCUCUAACUUAUUGUCCCUGUGUGUCAAAGGCGGUCCCAAGAGAUUCUACUUGUUGCUGACACAUUCCAGACAUCAUUUAAUUUUCCCACCUCUUUUUAAAAAUUAUUUCUUUAUUUUUAAACUGGCCAAAGCAGGCAAGAGACUUAAGUACCCAAGGGCAAGAGAGAAAUCUUAUGAAAGAAAUGUUGAGAAGAGAGGCAAGAUAGCCAACAAAGGGCAAAAGUGCCAAACCUGCUUGUUUCCACUGCUCUUGGAAUACUGUGCUGUCCAUUAAUGUAUGUGUGAACAAAUAAUAAGUGCAUCUGCAAAAAAGAUUAUUUACUUGACUGCUCUCUCUGCUGAUUGGAAAUAGAGCAGCUCUGUUGAACUCAUUAGAACUCUGUCUUUGUGGCUGCUGAGCUCACUCCAACACUGAGAUAGAGGGUCCUUGGAACACGAAGCUGUGAGAUAAAUGUUGCUAACCUGCUGGAGGAGUGGGGAUGUUCCAGAUGCUCCUUGCUCUCCAGCUGUGUUUGAAAAGCUACCAGAAAUGAAAGAAUUCCAGUAGAAGCAAAACCCUUUCUAUUUCUUCUCCAAACCAGAGUUAUCUGGCUGUCCCUGAGAGGAACAGUGAAGUCCCUUGACAGUGACAAACACUUUUCACAAAGCAGGUGAGCAUGCAGAACAACAGGCAUCUCCUAGAUGCAUUUGUUUUCCUUUCAUACAAUUAGAAAGGAAAACACACAAUUAUCACAUUUGCAUAAGUCUCUCAGCAGUUUCAAAGACAUUGCAUCAUCUCUUUCUCAUUUCCUGCAGGGAUAUUAUUGUCAUCUGGAAAAUUUAAGUCCACCUGACAAGAAAUUUUCUGGUUGAAACUAAUAGCAACACAGCAACAGCUUUCAAACAUUCUCUACAGUGCUUGGUUAGGAAGCCAGGAUUAAAGAUAUACUGUGUUUCUGUACUUCACUAAAAGCCUGCAGUUCAAUGUUUUAAAGCUUCUAAAAUUGUGUGCCAAUAGUAUCAUAUCUGUCACUGGCAACAGUAUUCAUGCUGCCAGUGGCAGAAUUCAGCUAUGGAGAACUUGCUGUGGUUUUCCUCGUGUUGUGGCAGAUCCACAGUAGGUCAUAAUUUCUCACAUACUAGGUAUUUUCCCUGAAAUUUCAACACAUGCAACUCUUCCUCACUUCUUUACAAAGUUUAGCAGGCCUGUCAACACCGUUACCCCAGGAUCUCACAUUAAUUAAUUUAUCCUCACAGCACUCCUUUGUUAGGUGCCAGAUCUUUCAGAGAGCUCAGACUCAAAUUUUUGAGUGCUCAACACCUAAACUGGAGCCAGAUUUUCCAAAAAACUGAGUUCUCUUUUAGUUUCUUAAAGAAGGUGCAAAUUUUUCAAAGUUUCCAACAACCCUAGCAGCAGUGCCUGCUGCCCAGAUUGUGUGAGAAGUCGAGGACUCAGUGUGCUGAACUUCUUCCCUACCUAUGAACAUUUUGGUGCCUGAAGGGGAGGUGAUUUCCUUGUGAAGUCUGGCUGUCAGAGUGGGAGGCUGAGCUCUUUUGAAAACCUGGAGUUCUAUUGUAAGGUUAUCACUGCUUUGCAGGGGACAAAGUGACAGCUCAGAGCGAGGGCCCAGAGCGAUGGAACAUUUGUGAAACAGGUGGAAAUGAGAUCAGGAUCCAGGCUGUCAAACCACCCAUUUCUGUCCAAGGAGCUGGGCUGGCUUGGGACAAAGUGUUCAGCUCCAGGGAGAGCUGUGUGUCACAGGCUGUGACGUGGGCACGGGCUAAAACACGAGCUCAACAGCAUCCUGGUGAUGACAGAGCUGCUGCAUGAGACACAGGGGAUGAGGCAGAGUGAAGCAAGUUCCUGGAAAGCCACAAGAUAA
Long non-coding RNA from Passer domesticus (house sparrow), 5839 nucleotides. RefSeq lists it as uncharacterized. The transcript is spliced from 10 exons. The record is from RefSeq and is a predicted model, not a curated record. Lineage: Eukaryota; Metazoa; Chordata; Aves; Passeriformes; Passeridae.